AAUCAACGCUGGCGGCGUGCGUAACACAUGCAAGUCGGACGAGAAAGCGGGGGCAACCCUGCGAGUAAAGUGGCAGACGGGUGAGUAACACGUGAACAACCUACCCCUGAGUGGGGAAUAACCCCGCGAAAGCGGGGCUAAUACCGCAUAACAUCCCUGUUCCGCAUGGAGCGGGGAUCAAAGGCGCAAGUUGCUCGGGGAGGGGUUCGCGGCUGAUUAGCUAGUUGGUGAGGUAACGGCCCACCAAGGCGACGAUCAGUAGCCGGCCUGAGAGGGCGUACGGCCACACUGGAACUGAGACACGGUCCAGACUCCUACGGGAGGCAGCAGUGGGGAAUUUUGCGCAAUGGGCGAAAGCCUGACGCAGCAACGCCGCGUGGAGGAUGAAGGUCUUCGGAUCGUAAACUCCUGUCAGUGGGGACGAAAGCCCUGAAAAGGGUUUGACUGUACCCGCUGAGGGAGCCACGGCUAACUCCGUGCCAGCAGCCGCGGUAAUACGGAGGUGGCAAGCGUUGUUCGGAAUUACUGGGCGUAAAGGGCGCGUAGGCGGCAUGGCAAGUCAGAUGUGAAAGCCCCGGGCUUAACUCGGGAAUUGCAUCUGAAACUGCUUUGCUUGAGUCCUGGAGGGGGUAGUGGAAUUCCCAGUGUAGCGGUGAAAUGCGUAGAUAUUGGGAGGAACACCGGUGGCGAAGGCGGCUACCUGGACAGUGACUGACGCUGAGGCGCGAAAGCCAGGGGAGCAAACGGGAUUAGAUACCCCGGUAGUCCUGGCUGUAAACGAUGGGCACUUGGUGUCGGGGGUAUUGAGUCCCCCGGUGCCGGAGUUAACACGUUAAGUGCCCCGCCUGGGGAGUACGGUCGCAAGACUG
RNAcentral lists this ribosomal RNA (869 nucleotides) under uncultured bacterium. RNAcentral describes it as "bacterial SSU rRNA". It matches the Rfam family "Bacterial small subunit ribosomal RNA", at positions 28 to 896 of the family's 1533-position model. The record is from RNAcentral.